This 901-nucleotide long non-coding RNA is filed under the name Equus asinus (donkey). RNAcentral describes it as "lncRNA (ENSEASG00005029128.1)". Lineage: Eukaryota; Metazoa; Chordata; Mammalia; Perissodactyla; Equidae. The record is from RNAcentral.
CUCAUCUAAGCCUGGAAGAGCUGGUGGAAGGGGGAUGCCAGCCCAGGGCACAGCGGGCAGGGAGCCCGCCGGGGCCAAGGAGCAGAGGUGUCGCUACAGCUGGAGUUUGGCCCUGAAGGUGGGACCGGGAAAGGAGGGGUUGGAAGGGCAGGCCGCCAGAUUAGACAGCCUCCAGCUUUUAAGCGAGGGAGGGGGUUACCAGGCAUAUGGAUCCAGUGACUCUGGGGCAGAGUCAAGAGCGGAUCAGAGACAGCUGGUGUGGAAGAGGCGGCCGUGGAGACAAGCUCCUGGGAGAGAGAGGGCCCUUAGCCUCCGGGAAGGGAUGGCAUGACCCAGGGACAGGCAAGAACCAGGACAAUGCAGGACCCGAGACGGUCACCCAAGCCUCUCCAGCCCCCAGUCAUGCGGCUCCUUUGUUCCAUGAACCACACACUGAUCCAGGCGGAAAGAUCAACAUUUUAAUCUCGCAGGCCCGUCUCUUCCACGCUCAUGCAGGAACCCUCCCACGGCCCCGGAUCACCAAGUCCGUCACCCGAGAGGUUCAGAGAGGGUGUGCGUCUCCACGGAGGGGACCAGCGAGGGCGCCCCGCCGCGGGGAGAGCCGGUCUGUCCAGCCCGAGCCCCGGCGCCCUCCUCGCCACGCGGAAUGUCUGGACACUCGGAAGCUACCGGCGGGGUCCGGAGUCGGGCCAGGAACCUCGCCCCCCGCACGACCAAGACUGUCACCCCACCGGCUGGGACCCCCGAGCCCUCCCCGGCUCUCGGCCCCCAGGGAGCAGCGGAUCGUCUCGGCCGAUCUCGCGAGAACCCGAGGGGACGCGACCCAUGGGCAGCGUCCCCGCGGCCGCCGGAGUCCGAGCGGCAGAGGCUUCUGGGGCCUCAGACGCCCAGAAACCACCGC